GGUGCAGGGGUCUGUGUUUGUAGCCUCCGGACAACCUUUCCCCUCUACCCCUGGAGCGUGCCUGAUGGAUUAUGAGCCGGCGUAGACUGAUUACACCGCCUCUCGCCGCGGGCUGGCCUUUCUGUCACUUUAAGUCGCAGAUAAAAAUCCUUACGAGAAGACGCUCCGAGCACGGAGAAGGUAUGGGUUAUUUGUGGCUGAUUUGCACAUUGUUGCUACCACUGUUUGCUUCGAUAUUAUAGUGAAACCCAUUCCCCAUCGUGAGGCGAUAGCUCCCUCUACAGGACCAACUCUGACCAGGUCACCGCCGCCCCAACUCUCUCCAGCCCAGCCCAGGGACAUCACCCUUCCCUGACAUUUCUGCUCUGCUAAAACUUUAAAAAAAAGGAAGAGGAAUAUUAAAGCAAUCAGGAGACCUCUAAUGCUUCGCGCCGCGCCGUAAGAGGGAAACUGCAAGAAUAACUUCCGACCGAUUAACAUUACUUGAGUAAACUGGAACAUUCUCUGUGAACUCAAUUACCGUCCAUGUAUAUGUAAUAAUGAAUGCGUGCGAGUGGCCGGCUAUGAAAGAGCACAUUUAACACAGCGUCCAUCUGCAGUAACUGCCGGAGUAGCGCAACGCGGCGAAAAUAUCAGACUUCAAUCAAACUAUCUAUCCAGUAACGAACAUAAAACUGGCGUCUUCUGGUUAAGACAUGGGAGAUUAAUUCAAAGUGUAUGCUUCAUACCUAUUUACUAUGUAUUAUGUAGUCUUGUGUAAGCUUAGAAUAUUGUUGUACUGAGCGAGAUGGUAUUCUUGAAAUUGAAAUUUCUUUUCAGCGCGAUGUUAAUUUAGCGUCUAGUCAUGUUUUAUUUAAAAAGGCCACAUUUCGUUCAUUUCCAACGUUUGCUAAAAGCCGGCUCGCUCUCCAUCUCAAUGUUCUGAAAAGCUUCAGUAGUCGUGUAGAUGUAGUCGCAGGCAUAGAUAAAUAAUCGUUUUAUCUCCCCCCCUCCACUCGGUACAGUGUGUUGUUCAAUACACAUGCAGAAAAACAUAUUUAGUUUAUCUUGCUUUCAAAAUGAUCAAAACGAGAUUUAUUCAUAAAAUAAAUCGGUGUGAAUUCAUUUUGUAAUUCAACUAGAAUUCGUAUGCAUUCAUUUACAAUCAUACGCAAAGAUCUUUAAGUCGAUCAGACUGGCGGUGACAGCUACUGUUUUAUCGAUUAUGCUCCGACACAAAUUGUAACGCACAAUUAGUUGUACGGUAUGAUGGAGGGGAUUCCUGUAUCUCUGAGCCUGCCUGCCAUCGGCGCAACGCCAGUGACCAACAACUUGUCCAACUUCUGUCUCAACAAGGUUGUUUAAAAAAAAAAUGAUUUCAAGCUGAAUAUGUUUGUAUGUUAAUGCGCUUUAAAUACACAGGGUUUAAAAUUGGAUUAAAGUUAGUUUCUUUGUUUAAUUCUGCAAGAGUUUUAGAUUGUCUUUUCCACAACUCUUCAUUGAUGAUUAAUUCAGUAUAUAAUAUUGCAUUCAGGAUUUUUUUUUUUAAACGACUAAUUUCCUGAUUGAGUUAGAUUCUUGUCGUUGCAUGGAGAAUGAUCCAAGCACAUGAACGGGCCAUUACCAAUUGAGGGGAAGUUCCGGAGCUGAUGCCUUCAAAAAACAAGGCAGACUUGAAACAUUCGUUUCAUACUUCUUUCAGGCGUGCUUCGAAACUGAGAAUUACCAGCAGCAUUUAAAACCAAAUUUGCAAACAUCUUACCUUUACAGUGCAAGGGCUCUUGCAUAAUCACGGUUGGCCCCAUAGCUGAAGCGACCACGUCGCGAGGCUGGAAACUGGAAGUAUCCUGAGCUAAUUCUGCUACCACCAUCGUCUAUUGCAACAAGUGAUGGCUUCCACUGAUUGUCACCAGAAGCUUGCGUCCUUUUCAGGACGGACGAUGACAGCGAUGUCAACAUUUGAAAUAUGGAAGAUGGACAUGAAAGAAGAAGACUGAUGACCUCAUGACAAUCAUCACCACUAAAAAAUCUUAACUA
This is a long non-coding RNA of Leucoraja erinaceus (little skate), 2016 nucleotides long. RefSeq lists it as uncharacterized. The transcript has 3 exons. Lineage: Eukaryota; Metazoa; Chordata; Chondrichthyes; Rajiformes; Rajidae. The record is from RefSeq and is a predicted model, not a curated record.